Molecule: ribosomal RNA, 292 nt
Filed under: uncultured bacterium
Lineage: Bacteria
Description: partial 16S ribosomal RNA
Rfam family: Bacterial small subunit ribosomal RNA
Source: RNAcentral
UUUCCAGCAGCCGCGGUAAUACGUAGGUGGCAAGCGUUGUCCGGAUUUAUUGGGUUUAAAGGGUGCGUAGGCGGCCCUGUAAGUCAGUGCUGAAAUAUCCCAGCUUAACUGGGAGGGUGGCAUUGAUACUGCGGGGCUAGAGUACAGAUGAGGUAGGCGGAAUUGACGGUGUAGCGGUGAAAUGCUUAGAUAUCGUCAAGAACACCUAUAGCGAAGGCAGCUUACUAGGCUGUAACUGACGCUGAGGCACGAAAGUGUGGGGAUCAAACAGGAUUAGAUACCCGGGUAGUCC